Long non-coding RNA from Corticium candelabrum, 202 nucleotides. RefSeq lists it as uncharacterized. The record is from RefSeq and is a predicted model, not a curated record. NCBI's taxonomy places the organism in Eukaryota, Metazoa, Porifera, Homoscleromorpha, Homosclerophorida, Plakinidae. The transcript is spliced from 3 exons.
GGUGUCCUGGGAAUGUACGCUAAAUCCAGGGAAUUUGGGCGUCCAAGUCCCGGGGUUUUACGUACAGAAGUUGGCAGGAUUGGAGAGUGGUCUCUCCACUUGCGAUGGUUUCAUGACAUGAUACCAUGGAUGUUUGCGUACAACGUAACAAACUACUAUGUCGAUUCUAAGAAGUAGGAGAUUUUGGUGUCCAAAGGUCUCA